UCCGGUUUGACACCGGCAGUCUCCCUAGAGUGCCCGACAUGACUCGCUGGUAACUAGGAACGAGGGUUGCGCUCGUUGCGGGACUUAACCCAAUAUCUCACGACACGAGCUGACGACAGCCAUGCAGCACCUGUCUCCGCGCCCCUUGCGGGGACCACCCAUCUCUGAGUUUAGCGCGGGAUGUCAAACCCUGGUAAGGUUCUGCGCGUUGCGUCGAAUUAAACCACAUGCUCCGCUGCUUGUGCGGGUCCCCGUCAAUUCCUUUGAGUUUUAGCCUUGCGGCCGUACUCCCCAGGCGGGGCACUUAAUGCGUUAGCGUCGGCACGGGAGGAGUCGACACCUCCCACACCUAGUGCCCAUCGUUUACGGCGUGGACUAC
RNAcentral lists this unclassified non-coding RNA (379 nucleotides) under uncultured bacterium. RNAcentral's name for it is "contains 16S-23S intergenic spacer region". The record is from RNAcentral.